AACAGACGACGAGUCGGACAGACGAGAGCAGACAGACAGUGGACGUGGACAUGGAUCAGCUGUUGGUGCUGUUGCUGUUGCUGUGGAGCUCAGGACUGCAGACUGAAGGAAAACACAACUCAACAGAGUCUGUCAGGUUGGUGGGAGGAGACAGUCGCUGUGCAGGAACACUGGAGGUGGAACAUCAGAAUGAAUGGAGACCAGUGAUUGGCCCUUACUGGACCCUGAAGGAAAGCAGCUGUUGUCUGCAGAGAACUGGACUGUGGUUCUGCUGUUUCUGUAGGAGAGAGAAAGGAGUCCUCACACAGAUCUGUGUGGGAGAUCUACUCUGACUGUGUUCAGUCUGGAUCUGCUCUGAGGGAGUGUGUUACACCAAGUUCUUCUUCCAUCAUCCUGAUUCUCACCUGUUCAGGUCCUGUGUGUGCAUCAGUGGCUGCUGACUCAAACAUUGUGGAGGACAGGAGGAAAACCAACCCACAG
Long non-coding RNA from Dicentrarchus labrax (European seabass), 480 nucleotides. RefSeq lists it as uncharacterized. The transcript has 4 exons. The record is from RefSeq and is a predicted model, not a curated record. Lineage: Eukaryota; Metazoa; Chordata; Actinopteri; Moronidae.